UGGGGAAUAUUGCACAAUGGGCGCAAGCCUGAUGCAGCCAUGCCGCGUGUAUGAAGAAGGCCUUCGGGUUGUAAAGUACUUUCAGUCGGGAGGAAGGUGGUAAGGUUAAUAACCUUAUCAAUUGACGUUACCGACAGAAGAAGCACCGGCUAACUCCGUGCCAGCAGCCGCGGUAAUACGGAGGGUGCAAGCGUUAAUCGGAAUUACUGGGCGUAAAGCGCACGCAGGCGGUUGAUUGAGUCAGAUGUGAAAUCCCCGGGCUUAACCCGGGAACUGAAUCUGAUAAUGGCAAGCUUGAGUCGCGUAGAGGGGGGUAGAAUGCCAGGUGUAGCGGUGAAAUGCGUAGAGAUCUGGAGGAAUACCGGUGGCGAAGGCGGCCCCCUGGACAAAGACUGACGCUCAGGUGCGAAAGCGUGGGGAGCAAACAGG
This 429-nucleotide ribosomal RNA is filed under the name Chloroflexota bacterium. Its description in RNAcentral is "Chloroflexi bacterium partial 16S ribosomal RNA". It matches the Rfam family "Bacterial small subunit ribosomal RNA", at positions 355 to 776 of the family's 1533-position model. Lineage: Bacteria; Bacillati; Chloroflexota. The record is from RNAcentral.